Molecule: long non-coding RNA, 1526 nt
Filed under: Macaca fascicularis (crab-eating macaque)
Lineage: Eukaryota; Metazoa; Chordata; Mammalia; Primates; Cercopithecidae
Description: lncRNA (ENSMFAG00000055441.1)
Source: RNAcentral
UUUUUUUUUUUUUUUUUUUUUAAAGUAGACGUGUUAGAAGCCAGACUGAUCCAGCUCCUGAAAAGGAUAAUUAAAGCCACCAGUAAGUCAACUGAAAACGUGCUGACUGGCUAAGCAUUAGCAAAUCACAAAUACAGAUUGUGGAUGGGAGAGGCAGACAGGGCAAGCAGGUGGUAAGAAAGGAAUCUGAAGGAUAUUAAGAUAACUCCCAAAGUAAAUAAGUUAAAAAUCACAAAUUCAUGCCCCAAUUCCUGAACCAGGUGCUCCCUCAGCCACCAUCACCUGACUUGGACCCACCUCACCAAGCCCAGAGCCCAUGCUCAUGGGAACCUUGCAGGGACCCUUACACACUGUUGACAUUCUGAACAAAUUUUGUACUUUGCAACCUCUGUGCUUUUGCUGUAGCCAUUUUCUUUCCCUAGAAUGCCUGCUCAAAGCCCAAAUCUCAAAUUCAGACCUCUAAAGACCACUUUCUCUAUAAAGCUAUCCCUACUCACUGAACUUCCAAAGUUCUUUGUACAUCACUGUGGAACCUAAUAUAGAUAGGCUUCUAGUUACUCAUGUCUAUGUUGGGUUUUUUUAGUCAUUCCUGCUAGAAUGUCAGAGCCUGAAGUCACAGGUCAUGAAUGAUUCAACCUUAGGUCUUUCCAAGGCUAGCACCAGGCCUUGGCCAAUGAUAGUAGUGGACUAGUUCAUGAAAAUGUUCUCUCAUCUACUCCUGACCACAAAACCAGGAGGCAGAGAUGUGGAGAGACCUUCCCCCCACCCCGACUUUCCCCAUACCAGGUGGUCUCUUAUCUGGGCCUCCCCUUCUUUUCCCCAAAAGACCAGAUGAUGGUCAAAAUUCUAGGAAAAUCGAUGGUUCUGAUCUAUGAGGCAUGGCCCAGGCAGUUGCUGAAACUUCCCAGCUCCUUCCCUCCCAGCUUCCGCACAGGCACACAGUCCACAAACACUGACACAGAGCCGAGAGAAGGAUUGGCGCCCUGGAAGACAUGUUGACAUUGGCCCAGCUCUAAUUACAGCUCUAACAGCCAGAGCCAUGCCUGGUAGACAAACCAAACCAGAGGCACAUUAAGUUCUGCCCCAGCUGGCUCCCAAUCAUGGGACGGCUCACAUCCGCGUGCUCGAAGGGGCCCUGCGAACCUCUGUUGCCGGAGGAAUGCACCCAGCCCUGACUCUCUCAUUUUUAAUUAGAAGUUCCCAUUAAAACCACUACAGCAAUGAGACACACACCAGGCAGCAUACUUCAGGACAAUUAGCACACUCCUCAGGUGGCUAAAAUGGCCUGGCCCUGGCCUGGGGCCGACAUAAUUGCACCAGAACAUACAGCCUACCAGGAGGUUGCCAUUUUAAGUGGAAAGAAACAAUUAGUCACACAGUCUAUUGGGCAGUUAGAUCUGUAGGAAAUUAUUCAGUAUACAUAAUUUAAAAGUUUGCCAUGGGUUAAGAUAGACAGAAAUCAUCCCUUGCCUAUGGCUAACUGGGACCAUAAGCAAAUUUCUUUCCCUGUCCCCCGCCCCCAUCCC